GAGACGAGGUCUCACUAUAUUGCCCAGGCUGGUCUUGAACUCCUGGCCUUAAGCGAUCCUCCUUCCUUGGCCUCCCAAAGUGCUGGAGUUACAGAUGUGAGCCUCUGUGCUCAGCCCAUCCUUGGCUGUUCAAGUGUAGAGGUGAUGUAAAAUUCUCAAACAAUGAGAUAGAUAAAAAGUACGCAGCCAAAAAGUUCAAGAAGAAGUGUUAUGGAGAUGGAGCAGGCCCUUCGUAAAAACACGAUGUUGGUUUUCUGGAUUUUGGAGGCCUCACAAAACCCGGAUCAGACUCGCCCACUGCCCUGUGUCUGCCCUCCCGACCGCCUCUCCUGCCCAGCAGGGAUGAGGGUGGCAGUGGUGCUGUGUGGAGGGUGGCGGGAGGACCUGGAAGACUGCGACCAGUGAGCCGGGAGGCCUUGGGACAGCCUCUCUCUGAAUCAUCCUGUGCACUGCCGGGUGUGACAGAGGCUCCUAGAAUCCUGUCUCAAGUGGCCGCCUUCACAGAGGGAGUCACUGACGUCCCUGCUCAGCGCAGCCCUGGCAUGUGGGGGUCCCUCUACUCAUGAGAAACCCCCACCCAAUCACCGUGAGAUGAAGAAAUGGGGCCUGGCGAGGAGCAAAGCCCAGAACUGCUGCCCACCACCCUCCCUGCCUGGUGCUUUCCUGGGAACAUGUGGGAGCCCCUGCCUGGACCUUGG
RNAcentral lists this long non-coding RNA (698 nucleotides) under Homo sapiens (human). Its description in RNAcentral is "HSALNT0352088". Lineage: Eukaryota; Metazoa; Chordata; Mammalia; Primates; Hominidae. The record is from RNAcentral.